This is a long non-coding RNA of Chelonia mydas (Green sea turtle), 4660 nucleotides long. RefSeq lists it as uncharacterized. Lineage: Eukaryota; Metazoa; Chordata; Testudines; Cheloniidae. The record is from RefSeq and is a predicted model, not a curated record. The transcript has 4 exons.
UUCCCCCCCCCCAUCCUUGUUAUGGGCAGAGAGGCCCUACACCAGCAGAGAAGGGGUUAAGGAGAGCCUGUGGCCCCCAGCUAGCCCUGCCUCCGCUAUACACGAAGCCAAUGCUAAGCGUGGAGGGGGAAUAAAAAGAGAGAGUCUGGCUCAGUUGUGGACUGGCGGGUCAGGAAGGAGGAUGGAGCUCUGCCUCUGUGCUGCUAACUGGAGCAGGAGCAGUCAGACGCCACGAGCGAGCGAUGCAUGAGCAAGAGAAGGAUGGGGCGCCCCACUGGAAGGCUGGGGGAUGGUCCAGCAUUGAGUUGGAUUUGCUUUUAUUUUGGAACUUUUGGGGGCUCAACUCCCCCACCAGGGAAAGUAAGACUGGAGGGACAAUUAGCUGGUGGGCCAGAGCUCUGCUACAGUGCACCCUGGAGGUGCAGACUUCUUCCCUGGGAGACGUGCAGCCACACUGGGGCAAUAGAAGGCCCACAGAGGAGGACUCUGUUCCUGCCACGGCACUACACUCCUCCUUCUGAGCUGCAGUUUGAGCCUCAAGUUUUUCUACCAGGCCAGUAACAUUAUCCUCUGAUGAGGAGGCAUAGAAGCUCUUUCAGACUCUCUUUCCAACUGAAACAUCUUGGGGGUACUGAGGUGAACUUGUUUCAUGUUGCUGAAUCUGCAUUUAUCUGCCGAAAAAAUUCAUCAGAAAAAAAAUUCCUUCAGUUCUACACAUGAACGCCUUAACAGAACCAGCUUCUGCGCUCUGUAAAGGGGAAAUCUCAGCUUCUGUUGAGAAAUUUGGCGACCGCGGCAGGACUCUAGGCGACCACCGUCGGGGCCUCUUGCCUCCAAACGUCCACUUGGCGCCAACGGGUGAAUUCACCUGGGAUCUUUGGCAGCAGGAGGCACCGAAGGGUAAAGGUUCCUGAAUCCAUCAUAGCUACAUUAAGUUAGCGCUGGGACACCCACCUAACCCUGACAAGCCAUCGGACGAGCCACUUCAUGAAUAAACGCCACUACCAACCCAUGGACUAAGCUUUCCAGUUAUUGGGACCUUCACAGCCCUCCAGGACUUCUUGUGUUCCUGUUUAUUAAACUUACAUUGGUGGUGGUGGUUUUUUUUUUUUUUUUUUUUUUUUUUUAAAAAUACCAUAUAAAAAAGGCCAACAUUGGUAUGGUUUGCCUGGGGCUUCCUCUCCCUAUUCCCAAGGAUGGGAGGGCAAUAGCUUUUUAAAUUUAACCCGCGCCAUAAAACAAGGAGUAAAUCAAACACAAUGUUAAAUUUGUAUUCAUACCCCCACAUAUUUAGGUCGGGGUCCCGUUGGUAGGGGUACCUAUCCCUCUUAAUCGAACAGACUCGCCCUUUUGGAAUAAAACGUCUUUACAGCAAGCCACCUCUCAGGAUUGGGAAUAUUCAGUUGCAAUACUAACUAAGGGAGUAUUUUGUUUUGCCCGAAAUCAAUCUGACCAGUAUGCGCGUCCUGUUAAAAAAAAGUUCUUGUGUUAUCACUCAGUUGGCAAAUAAGUAUUAAAUAAAAAUGAAGGGUAAAGGCCGGCAAUGUAAAAGUAGUAAUUCUUCCCCUUUCGGAGAAACUCUCUUACAAAUAACCUCUCCACAAUAAAAAGUCAAACAGGUAUAACUUGUCGUUCGGUUAAUGUCUCUGAUAUAUCAGGCCAAUGAUAAGUCUGCAGUAGUCCCUAUAAAAAGUGUAAUUUAAAUGGUACAACCAAAAACACCCCUACCCAUAGUCAACAAAGAAAAGGGAAAGCCCCCUUGGGAGCAUAUAAGCUAUUUGGGAAAGCAGUGUUAAACAUUGCAGGAAUUCCCCUAAAAGCCAGUCCUUAUUAGGCCCUACAGGGUCGUUAUUUUGUGUGUGGCCAAAAAGCUUAUUAAGUGUUACCAGCUAACUGGACUAGUAGCUCUUAUAUAGCCCAUGGAAUUCCCCAUCUUUAUAUUACUACUACCUUACCUAAAAGCAAAAUUAAAAACAUCCGGAAUAUCCCUAUUAAAUCACGGGGGGGGGUAACUCUUCAACGGCUAAAUGCUGCGUUAAAGGGCAACGCAAAAAAUCCCCUCACAACAGAAAAGCUCAUAGGGUGUCCCAUUCUGGGAAUAGUACCACUACUGACAGGGCCAGCCAUAACAUGCAUAGGCCGUUACACUGUAAAACUUCAAAUGGUACUUAAAAAGAUUGCCUUAAAAUUUAAAAAACUCAAUUAGUGGUUUAAAAUCAGCAAUAAAAACAUUAAAUAAAAAAGUGCAACAACUCAAAACGUAUUCCUUCCAAAACAGGUUGGCCUUAAACUAUCUUUUAGCAUCCCAGGGAGGGGUCUGCGCUCUCACUGGGUCCCGUUGUUAUAUGUAUGUAAAUAAUAGUAGCUAUAAAGUCUAUUUAAAAAAAAAAAAAAAUGGUACGGGCAGAGGCCCAUGCCCGAGUCGAAGCACAAGCUGCCUACACCGCCCCUGAAAGCAAUUGGUUGCAAACUCUGUUUUCAGGGUGGGGUUUAUCAUCAUGGCUUAGUGGUUUGUUCAGUUUAUUACUUAAAAUUUUCCUUCCUGUAUUAAUUGUACUAAUAAUAUUAUGUUGUGCAGUGUCGCAUAUUAAAAAACUUUUGCAAAAUAUGUUAACUCGUUCUUUUCAAGGCUAUCGCAAACUGCUCAUGCAAAGUAAAUUGUAGCAUAAGUAGGCAGGGAUACCUACAAAACCAAAGGGGGGACUGUUAUAAAAAAGUGCUUAUAUGCUAUUUUAUAUGAAUGUUUAAUAAGUUUGUUCUUAUAACUUAGCAUAAGUUACCAAUUUAGCAUAAGUAAUUAAAGUAAUUGAAGCCUUAGGCCGAGGUCAAGCUGACCUGAGAGGAAUGCUAAAAAAGCAGCUUCAAAACCAGUUGAGACUGCCCGUUAUCACUAAAAAUAAUAAAAAAACAACAACAACAAAAAAUAGGACUGAUCUGUCUCCCGGAGCAAAUCCAGCACCCGGCGACGGUCUGUCCACUCGGCAACAAAACUGUCCAAUAAAUAAAAGCAGAGACCCCUACUCAAAUUAAAGAAUUGAAUUUUGGACAUGGGCGAGGGCGGUGUUACCAAUUGUAAAGGGUAUAAUUGCUCGCAAUUUCUGAGGGGCGGGGUUCCUCUCCAGAGGCACCCAGCUUGAGCUGUAUUUCUGUACACCAAUAAAAGAUGCCUGUGUAAAUUAAACUCUACAUCUAAAAUUCUGUAAAAUCCUAAAAUCAAAUCAAGCACCUAAAAAAAAAGGGCUAAUUGUUUUUUUUCCCCCAACAAUGGGGAACCUAUGCCAUUUAUUGGGAAAGUGACUUGACCAAGGUUACAUAAGAUGUUUGUGGCAGUGCUGGGGAUAGAACGCAGAUUCCCUGACUCCCCUUCUGGUGCCAUACCCACUAAGAUGCCCUUUCUCCACACCCCUCUUUAAAAAGGCUAUUUGCUUGUGGCAGGAUCACAGCACUCUUAUGCGGUAUUUACAGCAGCUGGGAUCAUCUGGGUGGAAAUCUCGUAUAACAUACAAAGAUGGAACAUGUCUGGCAUAACAAGAUUGUACAGCCAGAGCAGAGAAUAAUAAGAAAUGGCAGCAGGAUAUCCAUCUAGACCAAUUUAAUCCAGCCUUGAUUUUGCAAACUUCAAGUGACGGAAGGAAUAGGAAACUGUGGAAAUACCAUGUCAAUUGCUAUUCCAAAGCAAGUCAAUGCCCAUAACGGCUGCAUUCUAUAGCAUGGGGAUUGGUUGUUCAGGGUAGGAGCAGAGCUUAUUUUCUGACUACAUAACAGAAAUCUCCAUCACAACAGGCACCCAUGAAUGCCUCUCAGCAGAGAGGACAAUGGCUGAAUGGGCAUGAAGAUGGAACCUACCAUCCAGGAUGAAGCACUUUGAUGGGACCGCACCAGGGUAGCUUAUCCUGCUACUGCCCUGUGACAGUCUGCGCCUCAAAGUAGCACCCUGAAACCCUCAAUCACCAUGGUGAUAUUAUGAUAAGUUUUGUAUAGAGUAUGCCAUGUGAGGUAUCAUCUGAAAUGUCUCGAUCUGUUGAACAUUUAUGUCCUGUCGGAUUGUAUGUGCUGUCAUUAUAGGUGAAGAUAUGAAGCAUUGCUCUAUGCGUUACUGAAAUACAGUGUGAGUUUGGGAGAUGCCCACAAUCAAUGUUUCAAUUGCAACAAAGGACCAACCAGAUGUGUGUGCUGCUGGGCCAUUAAAGGGAAUCCACUCUCCCAACUCUGGCCAUCCCAGAGACUUCUCAGAGAGGGCAUGUAGGCAAUGGAGACUGACUGACCAAUGGGGACUACCUGAUCGCCAGGUCACAGCAAAGAUCUUCCCAGAAAGCUGGAAGAAAAUAUAAGAGGGGAAGUGACAUCAUCACUUGGUCUCUCUCCCGCCCCAACUCAACACCUGGAGGAACAUCUGCAGGAUAAAUACUUUGAACCGUGGAAGGGUGGACCCAGGGUGGAAAAGGGAGUCUAGUCUGUGUAUGGAGGAUCUGUAACCUGUUUGUACCAUCUGUCGGCGUGAGACCCUGCUUGAAUCCAAUCCGGUUUAGUCUGUAGAACUUAGACUGCACAUUUAUUUGUGUUUCUUAAGUACCCAACGCUAAUCUCUGUCUGCUAUUUAUAAUCACUUACAAUCUAUCUUUCUGUAGUUAAUAAACCUGUUUUUAUGUUUUCCCUAAAA